RNAcentral lists this ribosomal RNA (2195 nucleotides) under Salmonella enterica. RNAcentral describes it as "partial 23S ribosomal RNA". It matches the Rfam family "Bacterial large subunit ribosomal RNA", at positions 711 to 2802 of the family's 2925-position model. Lineage: Bacteria; Pseudomonadati; Pseudomonadota; Gammaproteobacteria; Enterobacterales; Enterobacteriaceae. The record is from RNAcentral.
AGACCCGAAACCCGGUGAUCUAGCCAUGGGCAGGUUGAAGGUUGGGUAACACUAACUGGAGGACCGAACCGACUAAUGUUGAAAAAUUAGCGGAUGACCUGUGGCUGGGGGUGAAAGGCCAAUCAAACCGGGAGAUAGCUGGUUCUCCCCGAAAGCUAUUUAGGUAGCGCCUCGUGAAUUCAUCUCCGGGGGUAGAGCACUGUUUCGGCUAGGGGGCCAUCCCGGCUUACCAACCCGAUGCAAACUGCGAAUACCGGAGAAUGUUAUCACGGGAGACACACGGCGGGUGCUAACGUCCGUCGUGAAGAGGGAAACAACCCAGACCGCCAGCUAAGGUCCCAAAGUCAUGGUUAAGUGGGAAACGAUGUGGGAAGGCCCAGACAGCCAGGAUGUUGGCUUAGAAGCAGCCAUCAUUUAAAGAAAGCGUAAUAGCUCACUGGUCGAGUCGGCCUGCGCGGAAGAUGUAACGGGGCUAAACCAUGCACCGAAGCUGCGGCAGCGAACGUAUCACCCAAGACAACUUUACGGAGUUGACGAUUGACGGAGCGAAGCGACGUCAAAGCGUUCAUUAAAGUCGAGUUGGCUUAGGGGUACGUUCGUUGGGUAGGGGAGCGUUCUGUAAGCCUGUGAAGGUGUGUCGUGAGGCAUGCUGGAGGUAUCAGAAGUGCGAAUGCUGACAUAAGUAACGAUAAAGCGGGUGAAAAGCCCGCUCGCCGGAAGACCAAGGGUUCCUGUCCAACGUUAAUCGGGGCAGGGUGAGUCGACCCCUAAGGCGAGGCCGAAAGGCGUAGUCGAUGGGAAACGGGUUAAUAUUCCCGUACUUGGUGUUACUGCGAAGGGGGGACGGAGAAGGCUAUGUUGGCCGGGCGACGGUUGUCCCGGUUUAAGCGUGUAGGUGUGUGUUCCAGGUAAAUCCGGUUCACUUUAACACUGAGGCGUGACGACGAGGCACUACGGUGCUGAAGCAACAAAUGCCCUGCUUCCAGGAAAAGCCUCUAAGCAUCAGGUAACAUCAAAUCGUACCCCAAACCGACACAGGUGGUCAGGUAGAGAAUACCAAGGCGCUUGAGAGAACUCGGGUGAAGGAACUAGGCAAAAUGGUGCCGUAACUUCGGGAGAAGGCACGCUGACACGUAGGUGAAGUGAUUUACUCACGGAGCUGAAGUCAGUCGAAGAUACCAGCUGGCUGCAACUGUUUAUUAAAAACACAGCACUGUGCAAACACGAAAGUGGACGUAUACGGUGUGACGCCUGCCCGGUGCCGGAAGGUUAAUUGAUGGGGUCAGCGCAAGCGAAGCUCCUGAUCGAAGCCCCGGUAAACGGCGGCCGUAACUAUAACGGUCCUAAGGUAGCGAAAUUCCUUGUCGGGUAAGUUCCGACCUGCACGAAUGGCGUAAUGAUGGCCAGGCUGUCUCCACCCGAGACUCAGUGAAAUUGAACUCGCUGUGAAGAUGCAGUGUACCCGCGGCAAGACGGAAAGACCCCGUGAACCUUUACUAUAGCUUGACACUGAACAUUGAGCCUUGAUGUGUAGGAUAGGUGGGAGGCUUUGAAGUGUGGACGCCAGUCUGCAUGGAGCCGACCUUGAAAUACCACCCUUUAAUGUUUGAUGUUCUAACGUGGACCCGUAAUCCGGGUUGCGGACAGUGUCUGGUGGGUAGUUUGACUGGGGCGGUCUCCUCCUAAAGAGUAACGGAGGAGCACGAAGGUUGGCUAAUCCUGGUCGGACAUCAGGAGGUUAGUGCAAUGGCAUAAGCCAGCUUGACUGCGAGCGUGACGGCGCGAGCAGGUGCGAAAGCAGGUCAUAGUGAUCCGGUGGUUCUGAAUGGAAGGGCCAUCGCUCAACGGAUAAAAGGUACUCCGGGGAUAACAGGCUGAUACCGCCCAAGAGUUCAUAUCGACGGCGGUGUUUGGCACCUCGAUGUCGGCUCAUCACAUCCUGGGGCUGAAGUAGGUCCCAAGGGUAUGGCUGUUCGCCAUUUAAAGUGGUACGCGAGCUGGGUUUAGAACGUCGUGAGACAGUUCGGUCCCUAUCUGCCGUGGGCGCUGGAGAACUGAGGGGGGCUGCUCCUAGUACGAGAGGACCGGAGUGGACGCAUCACUGGUGUUCGGGUUGUCAUGCCAAUGGCACUGCCCGGUAGCUAAAUGCGGAAGAGAUAAGUGCUGAAAGCAUCUAAGCACGAAACUUGCCCCGA